This 459-nucleotide ribosomal RNA is filed under the name uncultured bacterium. Its description in RNAcentral is "bacterial SSU rRNA". It matches the Rfam family "Bacterial small subunit ribosomal RNA", at positions 29 to 506 of the family's 1533-position model. The record is from RNAcentral.
AUGAACGCUGGCGGCGUGCUUAAUACAUGCAAGUCGAACGAAGACAGUAGCAAUAUUGUCUGAGUGGCGAACGGGUGAGUAACGCGUUGGUGACCUGCCCCGAAGAGAGGGAUAACAGUCCGAAAGGAUUGCUAAUACCCCAUGUGGUCAUUUGGAUUAGAUGCCUUAUGACUAAACGGAUUUAUUCGCUUCGGGAGGGGCCUGCGUCCCAUCAGCUAGUUGGUAGGGUAAUGGCCUACCAAGGCUUUGACGGGUAGGGGACCUGAGAGGGUGGCCCCCCACAAUGGAACUGAAACACGGUCCAUACACCUACGGGUGGCAGCAGUAGGGAAUAUUAGUAAUGGGCGAAAGCCUGAACUAGCAACACCGCGUGUGCGAUGAAGGCCUUCGGGUUGUAAAGCACUUUUCGGGAGGAUGAGGAAGGACGGUACUCCCGGAAUAAGUCUCGGCUAACUACGU